This 915-nucleotide ribosomal RNA is filed under the name uncultured Actinomycetes bacterium. RNAcentral's name for it is "bacterial SSU rRNA". It matches the Rfam family "Bacterial small subunit ribosomal RNA", at positions 8 to 919 of the family's 1533-position model. The record is from RNAcentral. Lineage: Bacteria; Bacillati; Actinomycetota; Actinomycetes.
AGAGUUUGAUCAUGGCUCAGGACGAACGCUGGCGGCGCGCCUAAUACAUGCAAGUCGAGGGAGAACCAAACCUUCGGGUUUGGGGAGACCGGCGAACGGGUGAGUAACACGUGAGGAACCUGCCCUGUAGACCGGAAUAACCACGGGAAACUGUGGCUAAUGCCGGAUACUCUCGAACACUCGCAUGGGAGUUCGAGGAAAUGGUCCGCCGCUACAGGAUGGCCUCGCGGCCUAUCAGCUUGUUGGUGAGGUAACGGCUCACCAAGGCUUCGACGGGUAGCUGGUCUGAGAGGACGAUCAGCCACACUGGCACUGCGACACGGGCCAGACUCCUACGGGAGGCAGCAGUAAGGAAUAUUGCGCAAUGGGCGAAAGCCUGACGCAGCGACGCCGCGUGGGGGAUGAAGGUCUUCGGAUUGUAAACCCCUUUCGGGAGGGAAGAUGGAAUGGGGUAACCCAUUUGGACGGUACCUCCAGAAGAAGCCCCGGCCAACUACGUGCCAGCAGCCGCGGUAAUACGUAGGGGGCAAGCGUUGUCCGGAAUUAUUGGGCGUAAAGAGCUCGUAGGCGGUCCUUUAAGUCGGGUGUGAAAUCUCAGGGCUCAACCCUGAAACCGCACUCGAUACUGGAGGACUUGAGGCGGGUAGGGGAAGGUGGAAUUCCUGGUGUAGCGGUGAAAUGCGCAGAUAUCAGGAGGAACACCGGUGGCGAAGGCGGGUCUCUGGGCCGAUACUGACGCUGAGGAGCGAAAGCGUGGGGAGCAAACAGGAUUAGAUACCCUGGUAGUCCACGCCGUAAACGAUGGGUGCUAGGUGUGGGGGGGUCAUCCACUCCCUCCGUGCCGCAGCUAACGCAUUAAGCGCCCCGCCUGGGGAUUACGACCGCAAGGUUAAAACUCAAAUGAAUUGACGGGGA